Molecule: ribosomal RNA, 429 nt
Filed under: Gemmatimonadota bacterium
Lineage: Bacteria; Pseudomonadati; Gemmatimonadota
Description: Gemmatimonadetes bacterium partial 16S ribosomal RNA
Rfam family: Bacterial small subunit ribosomal RNA
Source: RNAcentral
UAGGGAAUCUUCGGCAAUGGACGAAAGUCUGACCGAGCAACGCCGCGUGAGUGAAGAAGGUUUUCGGAUCGUAAAACUCUGUUGUUAGAGAAGAACAAGGACGUUAGUAACUGAACGUCCCCUGACGGUAUCUAACCAGAAAGCCACGGCUAACUACGUGCCAGCAGCCGCGGUAAUACGUAGGUGGCAAGCGUUGUCCGGAUUUAUUGGGCGUAAAGCGAGCGCAGGCGGUUUCUUAAGUCUGAUGUGAAAGCCCCCGGCUCAACCGGGGAGGGUCAUUGGAAACUUGGAGACGUGAGUGCAGAAGAGGAGAGUGGAAUUCCAUGUGUAGCGGUGAAAUGCGUAGAUAUAUGGAGGAACACCAGUGGCGAAGGCGGCUCUCUGGUCUGUAACUGACGCUGAGGCGAGAAAGCGUGGGGAGCAAACAGG